AGUAGCCCAAAAGACAAAGUCCUUCUCAACAAAGCCUAACCAACAGGCAAUGGAUUAUAGUGAUUCAGAGGAAAGAUAAGAAGGUUCCUUUGUCUUGGACCUCCACUAGACAUCAAGGAAACAUGCCAAAAAAGUAAACAACAAAGGCCCCCACACCUUUCCAAACUACAACCCAAAAUAAGUUGAUCUGAGAAACAAAUUGCAAUGCCGCAUGCAAAGCAGAUGUGUCCAAAUUCAUGUAGGACCAGACACAUCCUGAACCUUUCAGUGCAACAGCUGUUCAAGACUUUCUUCAAAAUCAUCCAAGCACAAGGGUUGAUAAAAUACACACAAAAUGGCUGAUGCUCAAACCAACCAAAACACCAGGCUCUUUGCUGAAACCUCUGAGAAGGGUUCCUGGCUCCAGGUCAGCCUCAAUGGAAUAAAGGAAGAUCACCUACCACUUCAAACUGAAGAGCUGAAGGAGUUGUAUCAAGAUACAGAGUGCAGCAAGUAUAGGAAACAUUAGAGAAACUGACCUGUCUGGAGAUGGCAAGCUGCAGAGCCAGGUAGAAAGCUGCUUGGUGAUCUGUGGGUGACAGGCUGUGGGCCCUGAAAAAGUAUUUACGGCUAUUAGUACAUGGGAGAGGAGGCCAUUUUUACUUUCCCUAUCAAGCAAGUCUUCUCCACAUUUGCAUUCUUAUACUAAGGGCCCGUAUUUAUUUAACUAUGUAAUGCUUCAUUUAAACUCUUCUUCUUUGUCCACCUACACAUGUAAACCAUUUCCCUCUUACCACUGUAUAAAGGUACAGAAUAGGAGUGC
Molecule: long non-coding RNA, 802 nt
Filed under: Homo sapiens (human)
Lineage: Eukaryota; Metazoa; Chordata; Mammalia; Primates; Hominidae
Description: TTC7B antisense RNA 1
Source: RNAcentral